Coffea arabica (coffee) is the source of this 1840-nucleotide RNA transcript. It is a transcript of the gene named tryptophan--tRNA ligase, chloroplastic/mitochondrial, with no coding region annotated. The record is from RefSeq and is a predicted model, not a curated record. NCBI's taxonomy places the organism in Eukaryota, Viridiplantae, Streptophyta, Magnoliopsida, Gentianales, Rubiaceae.
CCUGUUCCAUCGGGUCUAUCGGAAGUGGAAACGAAAACCUCGUGCUUCUUAUCCUGUUAAAAAAAAAAAAAGCAAAAACAAAAAGGGGAAAACGCAACUCCGCUGAAGAAGAAGAAGAAGAAGAAGAAGAAGAAAGUAACAAUGGGGCGGGCACCCGCACUUCUCUCGCAAUUCCUCUCUUUGUCAACGACGGCUGGGCCUCACUUCAGAGCUUCCAUGACAUGUAGAUUGAAUCCGAGGAAAUACUUGAACGGAACCGCCAAAAUUCCGCCGAUUCGCGAAAAUUUGCGAUGUCUCUGCAGCGUAGCCGUCUCGGAGCCUGCGACUUCAGAACCGUCUUCCACUCCCGUAAAGAAGAGGAUAGUCUCUGGUGUGCAGCCCACAGGAUCCAUACAUCUUGGCAAUUAUCUUGGGGCUAUAAAAAAUUGGAUUGACUUGCAAAACGCAUAUGACACCCUUUUCUUCAUUGUGGACCUGCAUGCGAUCACCUUGCCUUAUGAUACACAACAGCUAUCCAAAGCAACAAAAGAAACAGCAGCAAUUUACUUGGCAUGUGGAGUGGAUCCCUCCAAGGCUUCAGUGUUUGUGCAGUCUCAUGUCCGUGCUCAUGUAGAAUUGAUGUGGCUGCUCAGUUCUACAACCCCAAUUGGUUGGCUGAAUAGAAUGAUCCAAUUCAAGGAGAAAUCAUUGAAAGCGGGAGAUGAAAAUGUUGGGGUUGCUCUGCUGACAUAUCCUGUCCUAAUGGCGUCUGAUAUUUUGCUAUACCAGUCUGAUUAUGUCCCUGUUGGGGAUGAUCAGAAACAACAUCUGGAGUUAACUCGAGAACUUGCUCAGCGUGUUAACUAUCUUUAUGGAGGAAGGAAGUGGAAGAAAUUGGGAGGGCGAGGUGGUGCAAUUUUUAAGGUUCCGGAACCCCUUAUUCCACCUGCUGGAGCUCGAGUCAUGUCCCUAACUGAUGGUCUUUCAAAGAUGUCCAAAUCGGCGCCUUCUGAUCAGUCUCGAAUCAAUUUGCUUGACCCUAAAGAUGUUGUCAAUAAUAAAAUUAAGCGUUGCAAGACUGACUCAUUUCCUGGCCUGGAAUUUGAUAACUCUGAAAGACCUGAAUGUAACAAUCUUCUCUCAAUUUAUCAGCUCGUCACGGGGAAGACAAAGCAGGUUCUUCUACGCCAGUGAUCUUUGUCUUUCCUCAGGAAGUGGCUGAAGAAUGUCGAGAUAUGAACUGGGGGACGUUCAAACCCGUCCUUACAGAUGCUUUGAUCGCUCACUUGCAUCCCAUCCAGGUUCGAUAUGGGGAAAUCAUGUCUGAUGCAAGUUACCUAGAUUCAGUGUUGGCUGAAGGUGCUAGAAAAGCUGCAGACAUUGCAGAUAAUACCCUCAAAAAUGUGUACCAAGCUAUGGGAUUCUUGCGGUGAUAAAUAUAACCCAUGCUGCUUCUGGAACUUGCUGAAAGGGUCAGCUCGAUAGCAACCUAAAAGCUCACUCAUCAAAAGUUCAAAUUCCAUAUUCUCCAACAUGCAUUAUCAUGAGCUCGUUACUGUUGAGGGGAGAAAUAAUUUAUCCAAAAAGGCAAGCAUUAAAGCUUUUACGCUAUCCUCACGCCUCCCUUUUAAGGGCGUGAAUAGAUGGAUUUUGAACAGUUGAUAAUUCCCUUAAUUCCCUAUUCUUUGAAAUCUAUACCGUGAUUUCUGAUAGGAGUUUGCCUUUAUUGGUAUAUACAAAACGUACACCUCUUGAUCAUCCUAUAAAUCAAUGUAAAUUGUAGCUGCAAUUCCAGAUGCAGUAUGUUAUGCCAAUUGAUGGUCAGUUUAAGGAUUUAAAACACCUUUGCUCCGUUCCACUU